GAGUUUGAUCGUGGCUCAGAUUGAACGCUGGCGGCAUGCCUUACACAUGCAAGUCGAACGGCAGCAUGAUCUAGCUUGCUAGAUUGAUGGCGAGUGGCGAACGGGUGGAGUAAUACAUACGGACGUGCCCUGUAGUGGGGGAUAACUAGUCGAAAGAUUAGCUAAUACCGCAUACGACCUGAGGGUGAAAGUGGGGGACCGCAAGGCCUCAUGCUAUAGGAGCGGCCGAUGUCUGAUUAGCUAGUUGGUGGGGGAAAGGCCCACCAAGGCGACGAUCAGUAGCUGGUCUGAGAGGACGAUCAGCCACACUGGGACUGAGACACGGCCCAGACUCCUACGGGAGGCAGCAGUGGGGAAUUUUGGACAAUGGGCGAAAGCCUGAUCCAGCAAUGCCGCGUGUGUGAAGAAGGCCU
This 413-nucleotide ribosomal RNA is filed under the name uncultured microorganism. Its description in RNAcentral is "bacterial SSU rRNA". It matches the Rfam family "Bacterial small subunit ribosomal RNA", at positions 9 to 417 of the family's 1533-position model. The record is from RNAcentral.